UUAAGCGACUAAGCGUACACGGUGGAUGCCCUGGCAGUCAGAGGCGAUGAAGGACGUGCUAAUCUGCGAUAAGCGUCGGUAAGGUGAUAUGAACCGUUAUAACCGGCGAUUUCCGAAUGGGGAAACCCAGUGUGAUUCGUCACACUAUCAUUAACUGAAUCCAUAGGUUAAUGAGGCGAACCGGGGGAACUGAAACAUCUAAGUACCCCGAGGAAAAGAAAUCAACCGAGAUUCCCCCAGUAGCGGCGAGCGAACGGGGAGGAGCCCAGAGCCUGAAUCAGUGUGUGUGUUAGUGGAAGCGUCUGGAAAGGCGCGCGAUACAGGGUGACAGCCCCGUACACAAAAAUGCACAUACUGUGAGCUCGAUGAGUAGGGCGGGACACGUGGUAUCCUGUCUGAAUAUGGGGGGACCAUCCUCCAAGGCUAAAUACUCCUGACUGACCGAUAGUGAACCAGUACCGUGAGGGAAAGGCGAAAAGAACCCCGGCGAGGGGAGUGAAAAAGAACCUGAAACCGUGUACGUACAAGCAGUGGGAGCACUCUUCGGCGUGUGACUGCGUACCUUUUGUAUAAUGGGUCAGCGACUUAUAUUCUGUAGCAAGGUUAACCGAAUAGGGGAGCCGAAGGGAAACCGAGUCUUAACUGGGCGUUAAGUUGCAGGGUAUAGACCCGAAACCCGGUGAUCUAGCCAUGGGCAGGUUGAAGGUUGGGUAACACUAACUGGAGGACCGAACCGACUAAUGUUGAAAAAUUAGCGGAUGACUUGUGGCUGGGGGUGAAAGGCCAAUCAAACCGGGAGAUAGCUGGUUCUCCCCGAAAGCUAUUUAGGUAGCGCCUCGUGAAUUCAUCUCCGGGGGUAGAGCACUGUUUCGGCAAGGGGGUCAUCCCGACUUACCAACCCGAUGCAAACUGCGAAUACCGGAGAAUGUUAUCACGGGAGACACACGGCGGGUGCUAACGUCCGUCGUGAAGAGGGAAACAACCCAGACCGCCAGCUAAGGUCCCAAAGUCAUGGUUAAGUGGGAAACGAUGUGGGAAGGCCCAGACAGCCAGGAUGUUGGCUUAGAAGCAGCCAUCAUUUAAAGAAAGCGUAAUAGCUCACUGGUCGAGUCGGCCUGCGCGGAAGAUGUAACGGGGCUAAACCAUGCACCGAAGCUGCGGCAGCGACACUAUGUGUUGUUGGGUAGGGGAGCGUUCUGUAAGCCUGUGAAGGUGUGCUGUGAGGCAUGCUGGAGGUAUCAGAAGUGCGAAUGCUGACAUAAGUAACGAUAAAGCGGGUGAAAAGCCCGCUCGCCGGAAGACCAAGGGUUCCUGUCCAACGUUAAUCGGGGCAGGGUGAGUCGACCCCUAAGGCGAGGCCGAAAGGCGUAGUCGAUGGGAAACAGGUUAAUAUUCCUGUACUUGGUGUUACUGCGAAGGGGGGACGGAGAAGGCUAUGUUGGCCGGGCGACGGUUGUCCCGGUUUAAGCGUGUAGGCUGAUUUUCCAGGCAAAUCCGGAAAAUCAAGGCUGAGGCGUGAUGACGAGGCACUACGGUGCUGAAGCAACAAAUGCCCUGCUUCCAGGAAAAGCCUCUAAGCAUCAGGUAACAUCAAAUCGUACCCCAAACCGACACAGGUGGUCAGGUAGAGAAUACCAAGGCGCUUGAGAGAACUCGGGUGAAGGAACUAGGCAAAAUGGUGCCGUAACUUCGGGAGAAGGCACGCUGAUAUGUAGGUGAAGCGACUUGCUCGUGGAGCUGAAAUCAGUCGAAGAUACCAGCUGGCUGCAACUGUUUAUUAAAAACACAGCACUGUGCAAACACGAAAGUGGACGUAUACGGUGUGACGCCUGCCCGGUGCCGGAAGGUUAAUUGAUGGGGUUAGCGGUAACGCGAAGCUCUUGAUCGAAGCCCCGGUAAACGGCGGCCGUAACUAUAACGGUCCUAAGGUAGCGAAAUUCCUUGUCGGGUAAGUUCCGACCUGCACGAAUGGCGUAAUGAUGGCCAGGCUGUCUCCACCCGAGACUCAGUGAAAUUGAACUCGCUGUGAAGAUGCAGUGUACCCGCGGCAAGACGGAAAGACCCCGUGAACCUUUACUAUAGCUUGACACUGAACAUUGAGCCUUGAUGUGUAGGAUAGGUGGGAGGCUUUGAAGUGUGGACGCCAGUCUGCAUGGAGCCGACCUUGAAAUACCACCCUUUAAUGUUUGAUGUUCUAACGUUGACCCGUGAUCCGGGUUGCGGACAGUGUCUGGUGGGUAGUUUGACUGGGGCGGUCUCCUCCUAAAGAGUAACGGAGGAGCACGAAGGUUGGCUAAUCCUGGUCGGACAUCAGGAGGUUAGUGCAAUGGCAUAAGCCAGCUUGACUGCGAGCGUGACGGCGCGAGCAGGUGCGAAAGCAGGUCAUAGUGAUCCGGUGGUUCUGAAUGGAAGGGCCAUCGCUCAACGGAUAAAAGGUACUCCGGGGAUAACAGGCUGAUACCGCCCAAGAGUUCAUAUCGACGGCGGUGUUUGGCACCUCGAUGUCGGCUCAUCACAUCCUGGGGCUGAAGUAGGUCCCAAGGGUAUGGCUGUUCGCCAUUUAAAGUGGUACGCGAGCUGGGUUUAGAACGUCGUGAGACAGUUCGGUCCCUAUCUGCCGUGGGCGCUGGAGAACUGAGGGGGGCUGCUCCUAGUACGAGAGGACCGGAGUGGACGCAUCACUGGUGUUCGGGUUGUCAUGCCAAUGGCACUGCCCGGUAGCUAAAUGCGGAAGAGAUAAGUGCUGAAAGCAUCUAAGCACGAAACUUGCCCCGAGAUGAGUUCUCCCUGACUCCUUGAGAGUCCUGAAGGAACGUUGAAGACGACGACGUUGAUAGGCCGGGUGUGUAAGCGCAGCGAUGCGUUGAGCUAACCGGUACUAAUGAACCGUGAGGCUUAACCUU
RNAcentral lists this ribosomal RNA (2903 nucleotides) under Escherichia coli BIDMC 77. RNAcentral's name for it is "bacterial LSU rRNA". It matches the Rfam family "Bacterial large subunit ribosomal RNA". The record is from RNAcentral. Lineage: Bacteria; Pseudomonadati; Pseudomonadota; Gammaproteobacteria; Enterobacterales; Enterobacteriaceae.